This 469-nucleotide ribosomal RNA is filed under the name Staphylococcus aureus. RNAcentral describes it as "partial 16S ribosomal RNA". It matches the Rfam family "Bacterial small subunit ribosomal RNA", at positions 54 to 506 of the family's 1533-position model. Lineage: Bacteria; Bacillati; Bacillota; Bacilli; Caryophanales; Staphylococcaceae. The record is from RNAcentral.
ACUGCAGUCGAGCGAACGGACGAGAGNCUUGCUUCUCUGAUGUUAGCGGCGGACGGGUGAGUAACACGUGAAUAACCUACCUAUNGNACUGGGAUAACUUCNGGAAACCGGANCUAAUACCGGAUAAUAUUUUGAACCGCAGGGUUCNCAAGUGAAAGACGGUCUUGCUGUCACUUAUNNAUGGAUCCGCGCUGCAUUANCUAGUUGGUAAGGUAACGGCUUACCAAGGCAACGAUGCAUAGCCAACCUGAGAGGGUGAUCGGCCACACUGGAACUGAGACUCGGUCCAGACUCCUACGGGAGGCAUCAUUAAGGAAUCUUCCGCAAUGGGCGAAAGCCUGACGGAGCAGCGCCGCGUGAGUGAUGAAUGUCUUCGGAUCGUAAAACUCUGUUAUUACGGAAGAACAUAUGUGUAAGUAACUGUGCACAUCUUGACAGUACCUAAUCANAAAGCCACGGCUAACUACUG